UUAUAAUAAAUUUAGUGAGAUGGAGUUUUUGCAGUGCAAAUAUUUCAGAGAAGACCACUGAGCUAUUACAGGCCUUUUCCACCAACAGGGAACGGGUUCUUGAAGCUUUGUGCCAUCUGGAGUACCAGUGCUCCUUUCCACCAGUUUUAAGUGGAGCCGUUGUCAUUGAAGACAUCAUGAAAGCAGGAUCACGGUUGGCUUUGCAAAACUGGCAAAACGUUUUGUUGUAGCUGUGAAGCAACUUACAAUCAGAUUUUUAGACCAAAUG
Long non-coding RNA from Thalassophryne amazonica, 268 nucleotides. RefSeq lists it as uncharacterized. The record is from RefSeq and is a predicted model, not a curated record. NCBI's taxonomy places the organism in Eukaryota, Metazoa, Chordata, Actinopteri, Batrachoidiformes, Batrachoididae. The transcript is spliced from 3 exons.